CCUACGGGCGGCAGCAGUAGGGAAUAUUGCUCAAUGGGGGAAACCCUGAAGCAGCAACGCCGCGUGGAGGAUGAAGGUUUUCGGAUGGUAAACUUCUUUUGUCAGGGAAGAGGAGAAGACGGUACCUGACGAAUAAGCCACGGCUAACUACGGGCCAGCAGACGCGGUAAUACGUAGGUGGCAAGCGUUGUCCGGAUUUACUGGGUGUAAAGGGCGUGUAGCCGGGUUGACUAGUCAGAUGGGAAAUCCUGCGGCUUCACCGCAGAACGGAAUUGGAAACUGUUGAUCUUGAGUACUGGAGAGGCAGCUGGCAUUCCUAGUGUAGCGGUGACAUGCGUAGAUCUUAGGAGGCACACCAGUGGCGACGGCGGUCUGCUGGACAGCACCUGCCGGUGCGGCGCGAAAGCGUGGGCAGCAAACAGGAUUAGCUACCCUAGUAGUC
RNAcentral lists this ribosomal RNA (442 nucleotides) under uncultured bacterium. RNAcentral's name for it is "partial 16S ribosomal RNA". It matches the Rfam family "Bacterial small subunit ribosomal RNA", at positions 338 to 795 of the family's 1533-position model. The record is from RNAcentral.